RNAcentral lists this ribosomal RNA (465 nucleotides) under Vreelandella stevensii. RNAcentral's name for it is "partial 16S ribosomal RNA". It matches the Rfam family "Bacterial small subunit ribosomal RNA", at positions 338 to 795 of the family's 1533-position model. The record is from RNAcentral. Lineage: Bacteria; Pseudomonadati; Pseudomonadota; Gammaproteobacteria; Oceanospirillales; Halomonadaceae.
CCUACGGGUGGCAGCAGUGGGGAAUAUUGGACAAUGGGGGGAACCCUGAUCCAGCCAUGCCGCGUGUGUGAAGAAGGCCCUCGGGUUGUAAAGCACUUUCAGUGAGGAAGAACGCCUGGUGGUUAAUACCCAUCAGGAAGGACAUCACUCACAGAAGAAGCACCGUCUAACUCCGUGCCAGCAGCCGCGGUAAUACGGAGGGUGCGAGCGUUAAUCGGAAUUACUGGGCGUAAAGGGCGCGUAGGUGGCUUGAUAAGCCGGUUGUGAAAGCCCCGGGCUCAACCUGGGAACGGCAUCCGGAACUGUCAAGCUAGAGUGCAGGAGAGGAAGGUAGAAUUCCCGGUGUAGCGGUGAAAUGCGUAGAGAUCGGGAGGAAUACCAGUGGCGAAGGCGGCCUUCUGGACUGACACUGACACUGAGGUGCGAAAGCGUGGGUAGCAAACAGGAUUAGAUACCCUUGUAGUC